UCUUUGGUAGUAUAGUGGUAAGUAUUCCCGCUUGUCAACAUCGCUUUGAUCAGGUUCGCGGGCGACCGGGGUUCAAUUCCCCGCCAAAGAG
Non-coding RNA from Terfezia boudieri ATCC MYA-4762, 91 nucleotides. Lineage: Eukaryota; Fungi; Ascomycota; Pezizomycetes; Pezizales; Pezizaceae. The record is from the annotation of a GenBank genome assembly.